AUUGAACGCUGGCGGCAGGCUUAACACAUGCAAGUCGAGCGAGCGGCGGACGGGUGAGUAAUGUCUGGGCAACUGCCUGAUGGAGGGGGAUAACUACUGGAAACGGUAGCUAAUACCGCAUACCAUCAGUUGUGCCCAGAUGGGAUUAGCUAGUAGGUGGGGUAAUGGCUCACCUGGGCGACGAUCCCUCGCUGUUCUGAGCGGAUGACCAGCCACACUGGAAUGGAGACACGGGCCAGACUCCUAGGGGAGGCGGAAGUGGGGAAUAUUGGACAAUGGGCGAAAGCCUGAUGAAGCAAUGCGGGGUGUGUGAAGAGGGCCUUCGGGUUGUAAAGCACUUUCAGCGAGGAGGCGUUACUCGCAGAGGAAGCACCGGCUAACUCCGUGCCAGCAGCCGCGGUAAUUC
RNAcentral lists this ribosomal RNA (406 nucleotides) under uncultured bacterium. Its description in RNAcentral is "partial 16S ribosomal RNA". It matches the Rfam family "Bacterial small subunit ribosomal RNA", at positions 30 to 526 of the family's 1533-position model. The record is from RNAcentral.